GCCACUGCACUCCACCUAGAAAACAGAGUGAGACAAUGUCUCGGGGAAGAAAAAAGAAAAAGCCAGGCAGAUCAAUAUGUUCUGGCAGAGGAGGACUAAGAAAGCAAGGUGAGAAGGGUAGACAUGUGACAAAGGGACCUAUACCGACACGUGACAGCUCUGCAGGGCCAUCUCAGAGCCUGGGUACAGUGGCUGUGGUUGGUGGCAUGACUGAUUUUUUUUUUUCUUUUGAGACGGAGUCUCGCUCUGUCACCCAGCCUGGAGUACAGUGGUGCCAUCUUGGCUCACUGCAACAUUCACCUCCUGGGUUCAAGCAAUUCUCCUGCCUCAGUCUCCUGAGUUAACCGGGAUUAUAGGCGUGCACCACCACGCCCGGCUAAUUUUUUUUCUUUUUUUUUUUUUUUUUUUUAGUAGAGAUGAGGUUUUGCCAUGUUGGUCAGGCUAGUCUCAAAUUCCUGGCCUCCGGUGACUCGCCCGCCUCGGCCUCCCAAAGUGCUAGGAUGACAGGCGUGAGCCACCGCGCCCGGCCAGGACUGAUUUUUCUUCCACUGUGUACCCAUCUGUGCUGCCUGGAGUUCCUGCCAUAGGCAUGUGCUACUCUUUCAAAAAACAAAACCAUUUUAAGAAGUGCUUCCUCGUUUCUGGUGAGGAUUUUUGUGGAGGGAGGCGGAGAAGGGGAGAUUUCCCAUCGAGCCGCUCACUGUGCGCUGGCUGGCGGGCUCCUGCAGGCUGCUGAGCAUCUCCAGGAAAAACCAGGUCACCAAGAACCACCUGGAAUGACGGCUGUCAAACCUGGCCAUGCGCUGGAAUCUCCUGGGAGUUUUAUGAACUACUGAUGCCCGGGGCCCACGCCAGGGGGUCAGAUGUCUCUACUCGGGGGCGUGGCCUGGGUGUGGGACAUUUCACAGCUCCCAGGUGAUUCUCAUGCAGAGUCCAGGUUGUAAGGACCACGGCCUGCACCAGAAGAAGGAGAGGGCUCCCGGGCUACUGCUCCUGGUUGGAGCCGGUGGAGAUGAGCAAGGAUGCAUGGUCAAGGAGGACAGAGGGAGGGGACCUUCUCACCACCCCCUAACCCUGUCCCCCAGCUCCCUGCACUGUCUCGUCUCCUGGCCACCUCUGCCCACUCUGGCUGAGACCCAGUUCUGGCUACAGCUGAAAGCUGCGUGUCAGUACAGGGAUGUGGGCUCCAGACUAUGGCCAAUGACAGCUUCCCCACUGCCAGACACCUCUGCAGGCCCCUCCCCAUGCUGCCUGCUCCCCUUCCCUCCCCUCCCCCUGCACUUGACACCAUGACCCCAGUGCAGAGGGGGAGAUCAAGACUCAGGAGUUGCCCUGCCCCAAGUCACACAUCCUCCAAGCAUCUGUCCACCAGCCGGCAACUCACAGUGCACCAGGCCAGCCCUGUCCUGUGCACUGAGGACACAGCUGUGAACAAGACAACCAUCCCAGCCCUCAUGGGGCAUGGCACUUAGUGGGGACACAAAUGAACCAGGAGAAACAAUGCCACCCUAUGAUGCGGGCUGAUGGCAGGACAGGCACAAAGGCCUGGGGAACCCAGAUGGGGCCUCAGCUCAUCCUAGAGGGUUGGGGGAGUUUCCGGGUGCUGAGCCGUGUAGGACCUUCACAGCCUCAGCAGCAACUGGCCAGGAGUCAGGAGAACAGGGGUAUAGAGGUACCAAGGGCCGGUGUUCCAGGCCGAGGGAACAGCCUGUGCUGAGUGGGUGGAGUGUGGGGGCUGCGGGGAUCAGCGCGUAGACAGGGAGGAAGCCAGACAAAGGGCUGGGGUCCACCUGGGAUCUUGCAAGCCAAGCUAUGACCUUGAUCCCAUGAGCACUGAGGGCCUUUGCAGCUCGUAAGCAGGAGGCUGUGUGUGUGAUGAGGUCUGCACUUCAGGAAGAGCAGGAGAGAGAAUACACUCUAGGGGCGACAGUGGAGACAGCAGGAGGCUGUUUCAUGUGUCCCCCAAAAGUGAGAGUGGCCAGGUAAUCACGUCUGGGCUCCAGGGCCUUGACUUACCACCACAUCACACCGAGCCUGUUGCAGAAGGGAACCAUCAAAGGAUCUUAAAUAAGCUAAAACAUGCUCUGACAUCUAGGGAUCUCAUACCAGCCUGCGUCACCACCUUCACAUCUGGAAAACCAGGACAAGUGACGCACCUGGCCAAGGGUGAACCUCAAACACGGCGAAUGGAACGUUGUGCCCAGCCAAUCCUCAGUCAGCCACUCUUGGCUCAGCCUGCUCAGGGGAUGACUCGGGAGACAAGGUCUAUUCCUGCCUGCCCCUCCUCUCCUAGCACGUUCCCCAGCUGCCCCUGCCUCUGUGGGUCAGUGGACACACGUCCCCCUGAUGGCACUGCAAUCAGAACACAAACAGGAGCUGAGCCACAAGAUACAUCUCCAGCCAGAGGGCUGCCGCUGGUGGGUAACCCACAGGUGUGGAAUUUCACCUUCUUUCUUUUUAAUGAUGGCCUGAGAUCUGGCUGUCAUGAUAUCUAGAAAAUGCAACAUUCAAGUGAAUCAUGGGAGUUCAAAGACCGCCCCUCUCAUCCUGACACAUGACUAGGGGCCAAAGAGUGUUCUGUGAUCUGAAAAGACACGGCCCUUCUUCUCCUGGUCCUGAGGACCCAGGCAAGGGUCAGUGACCAGGCCAGGCCAGAGCCAGUGUUCGGCCCAGCCAGGCGGCCUCUCCUAGGCCAGCUGGGCCUCAUCCCAACCCCCUGUUCCUUUUUGAAAUGGUUCUGUGCAGAGGGAUGGAGUUUCUGUCUCCUCCCUCAAGGAGAUGGAUUCUAAAAAUGGAGGAAAAAUCAAUAUCAUUAUGAAGAAGCCAAGGAGAGGGAGUGGCGAGAGGCCGCCGGCAGCUCUAGAUGUGAUGGCGUCUUUAGGCCUGGAGAGAACUAAUGUAAGAAACCCCCAACAAUUGCAUCCUUCCUGGUCACAGAGGGGAAAGGUCAUCCCUGCAUUUGGACAAGGGGGUCGCAGGGAGACAAGCUCUGUCGGUGUCUGGCCAAACGUCACAAUGGAUUAUUGAACAGCUGCUUCCCGUGCACUCAGAAAGGAAGUCAAUCACUAGGAGCCCCCAGGGGCUCCAAGGAGAACAAGCAUGCUUUCCUUUUUCAGGAGGGCCACUGGCCUGGAAGACCAGACAGAAGGCUGCAGAGGCUGGUGCCGCUCCACAUCCACUCAGGCCCAAGCCUGACACCUUGGAGGACACGCUGGAGACACGUGGAGAUCAGUCCAGGAGUAAGCAUGUGACAGGGCCACUGCGAUUCUUGCUACUGGGACAGGGAUGCUCUCCCCAGAGGUUCCUGGGAGUUCAGGUGACAGGCCACUCCUGCCACCCCACCAGGGGCCCGCCUGAGAAUGAACCCCGCACAGAAGGAUGCAGAGUUAGAAGACGCGGCAAGACAGAGUCCUGCCAAUAUCACUUGGAGCGCGUGAACCCUAUUUUGCUGAAGGCUGGAGUUACCCUGGGGCUUUUCCUGUUCAUGAGCCUCAAAAUUCUCUUCUUUCUUUAAGCCACACUGACCAGGGUUGCUUGUAACUAAGAGUCCUGCCUGAAAUAGAUAAUAAACCCCCAGGGGUGGCAGCAAGUGCUUUGAAACCAGCCGCCUGAAUCAGCAGGUAAGGGCUGGUGUGUGAGGCUGAAAACAACCAGAUGCCCGCAGGGCUGUCCGGCUGCAGACGCCCUGGCGGGUGGACAGGACCAUUUCCCAGAGGCAGACCCCCUCACCGGCACACCCGCAUGCCAUGGAAACCACUUUCACACCCGUUCUCUCUUGGACUAUCAUGGCAGCCUGCAAGGGAGGAGUCGCUAUGUCUCAGGGGUCCCGGGAGGGAGGGAGCACUGGAGCUGGGGUCCCCUCGGCCUGUCCAGCUCCAAGACCAGCCCUUGCCCAUCGCCCUCUAGGGCUCCUUGAGGAUGGAGCAGCAAACUCAAACCCUGGGGUUUUCACCUUUGAAAAUCUCAGAGAAGACUUCAGAGCUCUCCACGUCCCACCUCUCGCCCUCCGGCUGGGAAUGAGUCCCCGCUGGGGUCCAGGAGGUGCGUCCAACCCUUUGGAAUCCAGCUCCCCACCCCCUCCUCCCGGGCCGCAGGCAGGAAUGUUCUCUGCUCUGGGAUAGGAUAGGUCAAGACACAGAAACCUGACACGGCUGUGAGCUCCUCCGCAGCCCACCCCCAGCCCAAGGCCCGCCUCUGCCACAGGGAGUGCUGGGGCGCAGGGCCUGGCUGCUUUCAGAGUCUCCCCACACCCCCGCAGCUCCCUGCGUCCACCCUGCGCACCUGAGUUCCCAGACCUGCAGGGCACAGGCCAAAUGCAUGUGUGCUGGGUCGGCUUUGUGAUUUUGUAAAAAUGGAAUUAACUGCAAACAUGUAAAAAUCAGAUUUCCCGUGAAAAGCAGACUGCCGGUUUCUCUUGGAAAAUCAGACCAUUGGGCAACUCCGGGCCCACAGUCCCUCAUGGCUGAGGGUGGCUGAGCUGAGGAGCCCCAGCCUGAGAUCCCCACGGUUCCUGUAACCUGCUGCGUCUGGCCGAAGCCUCAGAGUUGGCCCCGGCAAUCCGCAACACCCAGCAGCUCCGUUUCUCACAAAGACCCCAAAUGGCUGUCACAGCACGUGACAGGGUGAAGCCUCAGGCCCCGGCUGGGUUCACAGCCUCUCCUCUGAAGCCCCCCAGUCAGAACAAGCUCUGCUCUAAAGCCAAGCCCACCACCUCAGGGCCUCCGUUUGCCCUGUGCUGCCCUGUUUCUACAAACCCGCCGCAGCCCCUCGCCAGUCUGGGCCCACCCGCAUCUCCCUCUCGGGAAGCCCUAAUCGCACAUCCCUGACCCUGCCUGGUUUUUGGGUCAGGGUCAGCAAAAUGUUUUCUGUAAAGAGCUAGAUAGUAAAUAUUUUAGGCUUUGCAAACCACACAGUCUCUGUCACAACCACUCAACUCUGCCCAGGUAGUAUAAAUCCAGCCAUAGAUAUGUAAACAGAAGGCAUGGCUGUGUGCCAAUAAAACUUUAUUAGAAAAGCAA
Long non-coding RNA from Homo sapiens (human), 5018 nucleotides. RefSeq lists it as uncharacterized. NCBI's taxonomy places the organism in Eukaryota, Metazoa, Chordata, Mammalia, Primates, Hominidae. The transcript has 2 exons. The record is from RefSeq and is a predicted model, not a curated record.